RNAcentral lists this ribosomal RNA (425 nucleotides) under uncultured bacterium. Its description in RNAcentral is "bacterial SSU rRNA". It matches the Rfam family "Bacterial small subunit ribosomal RNA", at positions 355 to 796 of the family's 1533-position model. The record is from RNAcentral.
UCGGGAAUAUUGCCCAAUGGUCGCAAGACUGAGGCAGCAACGCCGCGUGCGCGAUGAAGGCCUUCGGGUCGUAAAGCGCUUUUCGGGUGGAUGAGGCAGGACAGUACACCCGGAAUAAGGAACGGCUAACUACGUGCCAGCAGCCGCGGUAAAACGUAGGUUCCGAGCGUUAUCCGGAUUUACUGGGCGUAAAGCGCGUUCAGGCGGUUUGACAAGUCGGGCAUGAAAUCUCUCGGCUCAACCGGGAGAGGUUGUCCGAUACUGUCAGACUUGAGGGCAGUAGAGGGUGGUGGAAUUCCGGGUGUAGUGGUGAAAUGCGUAGAUAUCCGGAGGAACACCAGUGGCGAAAGCGGCCACCUGGACUGUACCUGACGCUCAAACGCGAAAGCUAGGGGAGCGAACGGGAUUAGAUACCCCGGUAGUCC